CAAGGUCUUGCUCUGUAGCCAAGGAUGGAGCACAGUGGCGCAAUCUCAGCUCACCGCAGCCUCCACCUCCCAGGCUCAAGCGACCCUCCCACUUCAGCCUCAGGAGUAGCUGGGACCACAGGCUCUUCGUCUGUCUACACUCUGGGAGCCGGAAGGCCGGGAUGAGGAAGGCUUUUCUAGCAAGAGUCUUUUAGGAGACACAGGCCACGAUACUGUCAACAUAGGAAAAUGUGCAACUCCUGCGUCCCACCGUAAAACUCGAAGACGUCAAAAUACAUUCUUGAUUCUGCUCCACAAAGGGAUGUUUCCAUGGCGAUAUUUUCAAACAACAGAAAGUUCACGGCCGAUGGCGGUUACAGCUCAUGGAACUGAUGGGCAGGGCCGGGUGCAGCUUUGUAGCACGGCUGCUGCUCACAGAUUCUCUUCCAUUUGACUAAAAACCAUGCUGUCCACACCAAACAUCUGGCCUCAUCCGGAUGUUCAAAGCCAUGAAAUACAGCACUUCUGGCCAAGAAGUCUAAAUCACAGCCGAUCUACACGAGGCGGAUGGUCCACAACGCCAAGUUCCUACCCGGGCACUGAGCUCAACGCUCGCACAACUCCAAACGAGGGCGCAACCAUAUUCCCACUGACAUCCUCCUUGGGGCAGCAAGACAAGCUCCGAACAGCCUGUCCUGGGCCAACAAGAGAAGCUGGCGGGCGCCCGCUGAGCACUGUGAGCCAUCUUGUGGUGAGACUGGCUUCUCCUUCCAAUCUCCAGGUUUCUCUCUCUUUCUGCC
RNAcentral lists this long non-coding RNA (779 nucleotides) under Homo sapiens (human). RNAcentral describes it as "non-protein coding lnc-ZNF778-1:4". The record is from RNAcentral. Lineage: Eukaryota; Metazoa; Chordata; Mammalia; Primates; Hominidae.